Xiphophorus hellerii (green swordtail) is the source of this 350-nucleotide long non-coding RNA. RefSeq lists it as uncharacterized. Lineage: Eukaryota; Metazoa; Chordata; Actinopteri; Cyprinodontiformes; Poeciliidae. The transcript is spliced from 2 exons. The record is from RefSeq and is a predicted model, not a curated record.
GAUAAUCUCUCUGAAGGAGAUGACUUCAACGGCUUGUGGUCCACAACCUCUUCCUUCGUCUUCCUCUUCAUCUUCUCUCUCACCUAUAACAUGAUUUUCAUUCUUGUUCAGAUGAAGAAAUAAUAAAGGUUCAGAUGUGCAAAACAGAAAUGAAUGACCGCAGAAUAUCUGCAAGAGUUUUUCAGUAUUUCAUGUACUUUUUAUAAUGUAUGAAAUGUUUGAAUGUAUUCAAGCUACUUUUUAGAAAAUUCUUAUUAUUACUGAUAUAGAGAAAUGAACCAUAAUUUUGUUUUGGAUGUAUAGUAUGUGUUUUCAUGAUCUUGAGAAUAAAUGUUUUCGGUGCUACUUCA